AUUGAACGCUGGCGGCAGGCCUAACACAUGCAAGUCGAGCGAGCGGCGGACGGGUGAGUAAUGUGUGGGAAACUGCCUGAUGGGGGGGGGUAACUACUGGAAACGCUAGCUCAUACCCCAUACCAUCAGAUCUGCCCAGAUGGGAGUAGCUAGUAGGUGGGGGAAUGGCGCACCUAGGCGACGAUCCCUAGCUGGUCUGAGAGGAUGACCAGCCACACUGGAACUGAGACACGGUCCAGACUCCUACGGGAGGCAGCAGUGGGGAAUAUUGCACAAUGGGCGCAAGCCUGAUGCAGCCAUGCCGCGUGUGUGAAGAAGGCCUUCGGGUUGUAAAGCACUUUCAGCGGGGAGGCGUUACCCGCAGAAGAAGCACCGGCUAACUCCGUGCCAGCCGCCGCGGUAAUAC
Molecule: ribosomal RNA, 406 nt
Filed under: uncultured bacterium
Lineage: Bacteria
Description: partial 16S ribosomal RNA
Rfam family: Bacterial small subunit ribosomal RNA
Source: RNAcentral